GUGCUCGCUUCUGCAGCACAUAUACUAAAAUUGGAACGAUACAGAGAUUAGCAUGGCCCUUGCACAAGGAUGACAUGCAAAUUCGUGAAGCAUUCCAUACUUAG
This is a small nuclear RNA of Eptesicus fuscus (big brown bat), 104 nucleotides long. The record is from RefSeq and is a predicted model, not a curated record. Lineage: Eukaryota; Metazoa; Chordata; Mammalia; Chiroptera; Vespertilionidae.